MicroRNA precursor from Astatotilapia calliptera (eastern happy), 64 nucleotides. The record is from Ensembl. NCBI's taxonomy places the organism in Eukaryota, Metazoa, Chordata, Actinopteri, Cichliformes, Cichlidae.
GGAAUUCCUGGCAGAGUGAUUUUUUUUAAACUAGAGGACUGAAUCACAUUGCCAGGGAUUUCCA